UCUGGGUAAAAAUAAAAAGGAAUCUGAAAUUUAGUUUCUACUUUAUUUUGAGAUUUGUAUUUGGUGUUUUAGUUUCUUUAUUAGAUAGAAGAAAGAGGCAUCUGAAAAUGGGAAAAGAAAUAAGAGGGUGUUACCUACCGGAGCAUUAAAGGCGUAGAGAAAGGGACAGGGUUCAAUGUUGAAACCCAAACGAGUUCACCUGCCUUCAUUAAACCACUUUGAAUUCACUUUAAUGCACACUUCAACAGUGACCAACUUCAAACAACCAUGCUUUCUUUCUUCCUCACUCAUCCUCCUCUCCUCCACCAGGAAACCUUUCCUCUGUUAAAUGUUCCCAACCCACCUUCCCUUCCCUUCAUUUAUGUCUUCCUUCUCUCUCUCUCUCUCUUUCAAUCACUUCUUGCAUUUUAUAAACUGUCAGAAAUUACUUCAGAAUCUACUCAUCCACACUCCUUUGCACUCCUCCUAUCUACCAGUGUACCACAUUUCAGAAACAAGCACUUAAUUCAUCAAACUGCGUUGCAUGCAACAAAUAUAUUUAUGUAUCUGAAUAUUCAAACUCAAUGUGAGAGGAUAGGGCAUG
RNAcentral lists this long non-coding RNA (583 nucleotides) under Vigna radiata. RNAcentral describes it as "long non-coding RNA (VRAD_LNC004959)". Lineage: Eukaryota; Viridiplantae; Streptophyta; Magnoliopsida; Fabales; Fabaceae. The record is from RNAcentral.